GUUAAAUCAUGAUCAAAUUGUUGGAGAUGGGAGGUGAAAUCAUUAUCAAAGUGAUGGAGAUGAGAGGGGAAAUCAUUAUCAAAGUGAUGGAGAUGGGAGGUGAAAUCAUUAUCAAAGUGAAGGAGAUGGGAGGUGAAAUCAUUAUCAAAUCAUUAUCAAAGUGAUGGAGAUGGGAGGUGAAAUCAUUAUCAAAGUGAUGGAGAUGGGAGGUGAAAUCAUUAUCAAAGUGAUGGAGAUGGGAGGUGAAAUCAUUAUCAAAGUGAUGGAGAUGGGAGGUUAAAUCAUUAUCAAAGUGAUGGAGAUGAGAGGGGAAAUCAUUAUCAAAGUGAUGGAGAUGGGAGGUUAAAUCAUUAUCAAAGUGAUGGAGAUGGGAGAAUAAAUCAUUAUCAAAGUGAUGGAGAUGGGAGGUUAAAUCAUUAUCAAAGUGUUGGAGAUGGGAGGUGAAAUCAUUAUCAAAGUGAUGGAGAUGGGAGGUUAAAUCAUUAUCAAAGUGAUGGAGAUGGGAGGUGAAAUCAUUAUCAAAGUGAUGGAGAUGGGAGAUUAAAUCAUUAUCAAAGUGAUGGAGAUGGGAGGUGAAAUCAUUAUCAAAGUGAUGGAGAUGGGAGUGGAAAUCAUUAUCAAAGUGAUGGAGAUGGGAGAUUAAAUCAUUAUCAAAGUGUUGGAGAUGGGAGGUGAAAUCAUUAUCAAAGUGAUGGAGAUGGGAGAUUAAAUCAUUAUCAAAGUGAUGGAGAUGGGAGGUUAAAUCAUUAUCAAAGUGAUGGAGAUGGGAGGUUAAAUCAUUAUCAAAGUGAUGGAGAUGGGAGGUUAAAUCAUUAUCAAAGUGAUGGAGAUGGGAGGUUAAAUCAUUAUCAAAGUGAUGCAGCAAUUCUAGCAGCAAUUACUGAGAAGCUGUUCCUUGGAAAGUUCCUUGGAAAUCGUGUUUGGGCGUAAAAUAAUGUCUAAAUCUGUUCUUUAAGGUUCACUUAGUUCCUUUAAUCAUUCUG
Molecule: long non-coding RNA, 983 nt
Filed under: Salmo salar (Atlantic salmon)
Lineage: Eukaryota; Metazoa; Chordata; Actinopteri; Salmoniformes; Salmonidae
Description: lncRNA (ENSSSAG00000094617.1, ENSSSAG00000117184.1)
Source: RNAcentral